Molecule: unclassified non-coding RNA, 345 nt
Filed under: uncultured fungus
Lineage: Eukaryota; Fungi
Description: partial contains 5.8S ribosomal RNA and internal transcribed spacer 2
Rfam family: 5.8S ribosomal RNA (bases 1-133)
Source: RNAcentral
UGGUUCUGGCAUCGAUGAAGAACGCAGCGAAAUGCGAUAAGUAAUGUGAAUUGCAGAAUUCAGUGAAUCAUCGAAUCUUUGAACGCACAUUGCACCCGGUGGUAUUCCGCCGGGUAUGCCUGUUCGAGCGUCAUUCUCACCCCUCAAGCCUGUCUUGGUGUUGGGGACUGCGAAUCUUGCAGCCCUAGAGUCGAGUAGCGUCACCUGCGGGUCCUAAGCGUAGUAAUUUCUCCUCGCUACAGAACCUGCUGGUGGAUAGUGUAAUCCCAGCGAACGCUGCGUGUCCUGCUAUAAAACCCCCCAUUUUUCAUGUUUGACCUCGGAUCAAGUAGGGAUACCCGCUGA